GUCACUUCUGAGACAUCUGAUAAAAUUAUAACAAUACACAGAAGAUUAACAUUGCCAGAAGAAUGACAUGCACAAAUGAAAUAAAUAAAUGGGUCAA
RNAcentral lists this small nuclear RNA (97 nucleotides) under Hordeum vulgare subsp. vulgare (domesticated barley). The record is from RNAcentral. Lineage: Eukaryota; Viridiplantae; Streptophyta; Magnoliopsida; Poales; Poaceae.